AGAGUUUGAUCAUGGCUCAGGACGAACGCUGGCGGCGUGCCUAAUACAUGCAAGUAGAACGCUGAAGAGAGGAGCUUGCUCUUCUUGGAUGAGUUGCGAACGGGUGAGUAACGCGUAGGUAACCUGCCUUGUAGCGGGGGAUAACUAUUGGAAACGAUAGCUAAUACCGCAUAACAAUGGAUGACACAUGUCAUUUAUUUGAAAGGGGCAAUUGCUCCACUACAAGAUGGACCUGCGUUGUAUUAGCUAGUAGGUGAGGUAAUGGCUCACCUAGGCGACGAUACAUAGCCGACCUGAGAGGGUGAUCGGCCACACUGGGACUGAGACACGGCCCAGACUCCUACGGGAGGCGGCAGUAGGGAAUCUUCGGCAAUGGGGGCAACCCUGACCGAGCAACGCCGCGUGAGUGAAGAAGGUUUUCGGAUCGUAAAGCUCUGUUGUAAGUCAAGAACGGGUGUGAGAGUGGAAAGUUCACACUGUGACGGUAGCUUACCAGAAAGGGACGGCUAACUACGUGCCAGCAGCCGCGGUAAUACGUAGGUCCCGAGCGUUGUCCGGAUUUAUUGGGCGUAAAGCGAGCGCAGGCGGUUUGAUAAGUCUGAAGUUAAAGGCUGUGGCUCAACCAUAGUUCGCUUUGGAAACUGUCAAACUUGAGUGCAGAAGGGGAGAGUGGAAUUCCAUGUGUAGCGGUGAAAUGCGUAGAUAUAUGGAGGAACACCGGUGGCGAAAGCGGCUCUCUGGUCUGUAACUGACGCUGAGGCUCGAAAGCGUGGGGAGCGAACAGGAUUAGAUACCCUGGUAGUCCACGCCGUAAACGAUGAGUGCUAGGUGUUGGAUCCUUUCCGGGAUUCAGUGCCGCAGCUAACGCAUUAAGCACUCCGCCUGGGGAGUA
RNAcentral lists this ribosomal RNA (892 nucleotides) under uncultured bacterium. RNAcentral describes it as "bacterial SSU rRNA". It matches the Rfam family "Bacterial small subunit ribosomal RNA", at positions 8 to 882 of the family's 1533-position model. The record is from RNAcentral.